AGUCUUUCUUGUUCUUCUUGGCAUCCCCUGCCAAGUUCAGUUCAAACUGGGCCUUGGCCUCCUGGCCUUUUCCCUACACAGCCUACCAGCUUCCUUAUAGUUUCCCCACUCCAGGGACAGCAUCAGGUGGGGAGUUUGACUGGGGCAGUACACCUGUCAAAGUGUAACGCAGGUGUCCUAAGGUGAGCUCAGGGAAGCCAGAAACCUCCCGUGGAGCAGAAGGGCAAAAGCUCUCUUGAUCUUGAUUUUCAGUACUUAUACAGACCGUGAAAGCGGGGCCUCACGAUCCUUCAGACUUUUUGGG
RNAcentral lists this non-coding RNA (304 nucleotides) under Gallus gallus (chicken). RNAcentral's name for it is "Eukaryotic large subunit ribosomal RNA". It matches the Rfam family "Eukaryotic large subunit ribosomal RNA", at positions 2555 to 2789 of the family's 3401-position model. Lineage: Eukaryota; Metazoa; Chordata; Aves; Galliformes; Phasianidae. The record is from Rfam by way of RNAcentral.